CCAUUUUUGGAAAAUAUUUUGUGGCUAACCAAUAAUCAUCCAAACCUGACACCUUAACUUGAUGAAUACAGGUACAGAAGUUGAUGGGAAUGAAAACUUGGAAAAGAUAUUAAUUCAACCUUUGAGUACUGUCCACGGUGCUGAAGACAAUCUUAAACAAGUCUGCCAUGAGGUCAAGGAUUUUUGUGGCUCAGCAUCAGGACAGAAGAAGCCUAGCUCCUUGACAGUGUGCAG
Suricata suricatta (meerkat) is the source of this 234-nucleotide long non-coding RNA. RefSeq lists it as uncharacterized. The transcript is spliced from 3 exons. The record is from RefSeq and is a predicted model, not a curated record. NCBI's taxonomy places the organism in Eukaryota, Metazoa, Chordata, Mammalia, Carnivora, Herpestidae.